UAUGACCAUAUCACGUUGAAACACCGAUUUUUGUAUAAUCACUGAAGUUAAGCAUCAUUGAUCCUGGUCAGUAUCUAGAUGGGUGACCACUUAGGAAUACCAGGUGCUGUAAG
This is a non-coding RNA of Acanthosepion pharaonis, 113 nucleotides long. The record is from the annotation of a GenBank genome assembly. NCBI's taxonomy places the organism in Eukaryota, Metazoa, Mollusca, Cephalopoda, Sepiida, Sepiidae.